This 254-nucleotide ribosomal RNA is filed under the name uncultured bacterium. RNAcentral describes it as "partial 16S ribosomal RNA". It matches the Rfam family "Bacterial small subunit ribosomal RNA", at positions 524 to 776 of the family's 1533-position model. The record is from RNAcentral.
UACGGAGGGUGCGAGCGUUGUCCGGAAUCACUGGGCGUAAAGGGCGCGUAGGUGGCGCGGGCAGUCAACGGUGAAAGUUCGGGGCUCAACCCUGAAUCGGCCGUCGAUACUCCCGUGCUGGAGCACUGUAGAGGCUAAUGGAAUUCCGGGUGUAGCGGUGGAAUGCGUAGAGAUCCGGAAGAACACCGGUGGCGAAGGCGGUUAGCUGGGCAGUUGCUGACACUGAGGCGCGGACAGCGUGGGGAGCAAACAGG